GAUGAAGAACGCAGCGAAAUGCGAUAAGUAAUGUGAAUUGCAGAAUUCAGUGAAUCAUCGAAUCUUUGAACGCACAUUGCGCCCGCCAGUAUUCUGGCGGGCAUGCCUGUUCGAGCGUCAUUACAACCCUCAGGCCCCCGGGCCUGGCGUUGGGGAUCGGCGGAAGCCCCCUGCGGGCACAACGCCGUCCCCCAAAUACAGUGGCGGUCCCGCCGCAGCUUCCAUUGCGUAGUAGCUAACACCUCGCAACUGGAGAGCGGCGCGGCAACGCCGUAAAACACCCAACUUCUGAAUGUUGACCUCGAAUCAGGUAGGAAUACCCGCUGAACUUAAGCAUAUCAAUAAGCGGAGGA
This 353-nucleotide unclassified non-coding RNA is filed under the name soil metagenome. RNAcentral describes it as "partial contains 5.8S ribosomal RNA, internal transcribed spacer 2, and large subunit ribosomal RNA". The stretch from base 1 to 120 matches the Rfam family "5.8S ribosomal RNA", at positions 35 to 154 of the family's 154-position model. The record is from RNAcentral.